GAUGAACGCUGGCGGCGUGCCUAAUACAUGCAAGUCGAGCGAACAGACGAGGAGCUUGCUCCUCUGACGUUAGCGGCGAACGGGUGAGUAACACGUGGAUAACCUACCUAUAAGACUGGGAUAACUUCGGGAAACCGGAGCUAAUACCGGAUAAUAUAUUGAACCGCAUGGUUCAAUAGUGAAAGACGGUUUUGCUGUCACUUAUAGAUGGAUCCGCGCCGCAUUAGCUAGUUGGUAAGGUAACGGCUUACCAAGGCAACGAUGCGUAGCCGACCUGAGAGGGUGAUCGGCCACACUGGAACUGGGACACGGUCCAGACUCCUACGGGAGGCAGCAGUAGGGAAUCUUCCGCAAUGGGCGAAAGCUUGACGGAGCAACGCCGCGUGAGUGAUGAAGGUCUUCGGAUCGUAAAACUCUGUUAUUAGGGAAGAACAAAUGUGUAAGUAACUAUGCACGUCUUGACGGUACCUAAUCAGAAAGCCACGGCUAACUACGUG
This 497-nucleotide ribosomal RNA is filed under the name uncultured bacterium. RNAcentral's name for it is "partial 16S ribosomal RNA". It matches the Rfam family "Bacterial small subunit ribosomal RNA", at positions 28 to 507 of the family's 1533-position model. The record is from RNAcentral.